GGCAGGAGUGUGGCACUAGGCCCUCGGGACAGGGAACUCAGAUGGAUGCCAUUUACCAAAAGGGAGCAGGAUAGUCAGCAUAUCUUUGAAGCAAAGCCAUGACUAUAGGCUGGUGCCUGACAGACGGAAGUAGAAGAAUGUGAACUGCUUUCAGUGCUCCUUCAUGUUGGCUAUUAGAAAUAGUAAAUAAACCAAGAACGAAAUC
Molecule: long non-coding RNA, 205 nt
Organism: Mastomys coucha (southern multimammate mouse)
Lineage: Eukaryota; Metazoa; Chordata; Mammalia; Rodentia; Muridae
Exons: 2
Source: RefSeq, a predicted model, not a curated record